This 452-nucleotide unclassified non-coding RNA is filed under the name Hevea brasiliensis (rubber tree). The record is from RNAcentral. Lineage: Eukaryota; Viridiplantae; Streptophyta; Magnoliopsida; Malpighiales; Euphorbiaceae.
GGUCGAGCAGAGAAGGCAGGUACAAUACUCCCGUUCCAUGAUACCCUUUGUUCCCAUCCAAGGUUCGAAUCUCUGGACCCAGUCCACACACCACAAAAUACUCGAAGAUCCGUGCCAUUUUGUGAUUGAUGGUUCCACCUCUCACCUGAAUUUUGCUUGUUUUCCUUUCUUUUCUGGGGAUGAUUUGAAAUGAUCAGAAGAUGAAAUGGUGUGAGAUUUGAUUUGGUUUCGCUAGCAUUUUUCUCUUUUACUUCUCAAAGAAUGGGCGUGGCGAGAUCAGGAAUGGAAAUGAAAUCAGAACUGCAAGUUGCGUACGGUUACAGUGUUACUAGUUGGUUUGAUUUGGCUUAUACACCGCUGACGAGCUUCCGCAACUGAAAAUCAGUCUCGCAAUAGCCGAUGACGAUUAUUAGAAGGAUUAAGGCCAAAUGACCCUGACCUUUACUCAAAAG